CUCGUGGAAGCACGCAAGUCGCGCAAAACAGUUCUGUCCUGCUAGAUUUGUGAUGCUUUAUCUGCUCCAAUAAAGCUUUGUGACGGAUGGAGCAACCGAUCCACCAUCCGAAAACCCACCCGGAGAGGAGGCCGCCGGCACAAGUGACCCAAUCCGCACUCGCCAACAGAUAAUCAACAACAAGGGGACACAGCAGAAAAUCAACUUCACGAAGAAAGGAGCAGCGAAAAAGCUGUGAGAUGGGCCAGGUGAUGGAAGAACACUCCGCAUAACUUGACCGUAAGGAAUCCAUGUGGACUUACUCUUCUCCAGUCUAGUGUUGGACAUAAUCUGUGGAGCGUUGCACCCGUAUCAACAGAUGCCCUCUGCCACAAAAAAAACACUUCUUCGGAAAUAAGGUUAGCACCAAAGCCAUUCUCGGUGUGUUGCCUAUGGUAACGACAGAGAUGGACGUUUUUUUGGACUCUGGAGGGGUCUCCGGUAACCCGUAAGCCCCCCUGACCAGCUGUGCAAUAUACCUUGCAAGAAGAAUGCUGUGGGGAUAAGCAUUGAGAAAAGGGCACUGCUUUCCCACUUCUAAGAUGGCGCCAUGACCCUCUAGGUACGCAGAGCGCAUGCGCUGAGGAGAGCGUCUCUGCUCCACAGUAACGGCCAUCACAUGACUUGUCAUCUGACUACACAGAGCGUAACGUCACUUCCGGUCCCCGGAAGCAUCCUAGCGUCCACGCUGAACAGCUAAUGGAUUCCGAAACGAUCUACGGCUAGUGUCCCGCCUCCCUCCGCCCACCUCAUUACACGUCAUGCACCAUGCACCUGAGAUUGUAUAUGGUAUGCGCUGUAAUUUUUAUAUAUUUAUUGCAUGCAUUGACGAUCAGAGAAUAUGCCAGGGUUCAUAUGUAUGCAUCUUUAGCACUGAUGUAUGUCGUAGUUCACAUAUAUGUCUUUUUAUGCACUUUUCUACAAUGUUUAUAUCUAAUUGGUUAAUUGAUCACAAGGUCCUGCGUGACCAUAAAAAGCCAGAAGCUGUAACACUAGUUACUUGAUAAUGGAGUGU
This is a long non-coding RNA of Hyla sarda, 1054 nucleotides long. RefSeq lists it as uncharacterized. The transcript has 3 exons. The record is from RefSeq and is a predicted model, not a curated record. NCBI's taxonomy places the organism in Eukaryota, Metazoa, Chordata, Amphibia, Anura, Hylidae.